Ziziphus jujuba (common jujube) is the source of this 1257-nucleotide long non-coding RNA. RefSeq lists it as uncharacterized. Lineage: Eukaryota; Viridiplantae; Streptophyta; Magnoliopsida; Rosales; Rhamnaceae. The record is from RefSeq and is a predicted model, not a curated record. The transcript has 3 exons.
GAUAGGAGAAAUUCGGAAAUGAAACUUAAUUGUGCAUCAUAACGAAUUUGCAGAUAUUGCCUCAAAGACUCGUUGGACAGGAAAUUGGUGAAGGGUGAAUUUGUUUACGAUUAGUAUCCAAAUGGAGAAGGACCGCUUUUGGCUGGUGCCACUGGUUUUAUGAGUAAAGCUUUUGGAGGAACAAGUGGCAAUCUGACUUUGCCAGGUCUUACCGUACUAAUAGUCUAAUCCCGACGCUGUUGCAACAAUAUCGAGAAGUGAGGAGGAUACUGAUUCCAUGGCCCCUUAUCUACCUUCCUUUCCAUCAAGAGGUCCAAAUCCAAUCACUCAAUAUUCUCAAACCAGAUUUAGCAGCCCUGGAGUUAAUAUUCUAGCAGCGUGGCCUCCAAUCACUCCAAUUACGGAUUUAGGUGCUAAAGGAUUACGGUAUAAUAUGAUUUCAGGAACAUCAAUGGCUUGCCCACACGCUACACGUGCGGCUGCAUAUAUCAAAUCGUUCCACCCUACAUGAUCUCCUGCUGCAAUCAGAUCCUCCCUUAUGACUACUGAUAAACCCUCGAGUUCCAAGAUCAACCCUGUUGCCGAAUUUGCAUACGGUUCUGGCCUGAUAAAUCCUAUUAGGUCUCUUUACCCUGGUUUGGUUUAUGAUGCUGAUGAGCAUGACUAUGUGAAGUUUUUGUGUGGAGCAGGCUGCAAUGAUGACAAAUUUUACAGCUUAUAACAGGGAAUCAAUAACUCACGUCUUCCAAAGUGAAUACUGGUGGAUCACGCACUGACAUAAAUUGUAUCACCCACUGACAUAAAUUAUGCUUUUGCUCUUUUAACCACACCUUUAGAAUCAUUCACUCAUGUUUUCGAUAGGACAGUUACAAAUGUUGGUUCAGCGAAUUCCACCUAUAAGGCUAAAGUGGUUGCCCCGAAAGGACUUAAUGUAGUCGUUAGCCUAGCGUUUUAUCUGUCACAUCUAUUAGGCAAAAGUUAUCGUUUACCGUCAAGCUGAAGGGAAACUAGAUGGAAUAAUUGCCUCUGCUCCUUUGUUGUGGGAUGAAGAUACUUUUCAAGUGAGGAGCCCCAUCGUUGCCUAUAGUGCACCAUGAAAUUGUGGUGCAUGUAUGGGAGAAUAGAUUGAUCAUCUCCUAGUUGCUGACAUUUGAUUUACCAUGUUCCCUCCUGAUUAAUUUUAGUUUACAUCAUAUCUUUUUAUUUCUUGACAGAUUUUGAUUUUAUUAUACAAAUCUAUUGUCUUUUUUUUUGUUG